UACGUAGGGUGCGAGCGUUGCCCGGAUUUAUUGGGCGUAAAGGGCGCGUAGGCGGCUCUGCACGUCCGUUGUGAAAUCGCCCGGCUCAACUGGGCGGGGUCAGCGGAUACGGCGGAGCUUGAGCAAGCUAGGGGGCAAUGGAAUUCCCGGUGUAGUGGUGGAAUGCGUAGAUAUCGGGAGGAACACCAGUGGCGAAGGCGGCGACCUGGACAGGUACUGACACUCAACUACGAAAGCGUGGGGAGCAAACAGG
This 253-nucleotide ribosomal RNA is filed under the name uncultured bacterium. RNAcentral describes it as "partial 16S ribosomal RNA". It matches the Rfam family "Bacterial small subunit ribosomal RNA", at positions 524 to 776 of the family's 1533-position model. The record is from RNAcentral.